GCCCGGGUAGCUCAGUUGGUUAGAGCAUCAUCUUGAUGCACCAAGGCUGCGGGUUCGAUCCCUGGCCAGGGCA
Myotis davidii is the source of this 73-nucleotide non-coding RNA. Lineage: Eukaryota; Metazoa; Chordata; Mammalia; Chiroptera; Vespertilionidae. The record is from Rfam.